This 21-nucleotide non-coding RNA is filed under the name Arabidopsis thaliana (thale cress). The record is from RNAcentral. Lineage: Eukaryota; Viridiplantae; Streptophyta; Magnoliopsida; Brassicales; Brassicaceae.
UGUUGGCGUCUUGAUAUAAUC